This 397-nucleotide unclassified non-coding RNA is filed under the name Athalia rosae (coleseed sawfly). RNAcentral describes it as "misc RNA ENSAEAG00005006362.1". Lineage: Eukaryota; Metazoa; Arthropoda; Insecta; Hymenoptera; Athaliidae. The record is from RNAcentral.
GGCGAUUUACUGUACCAAAUCUUAGUCGAUUCGAUCAAGGCGUUUGACAAUGGUUGUUGACUUUUAUAACUGUUUGACUUGAAAUCGGGAAUUGCAGCUGGUUUCAAGUUUAUCUAAAUGCAAUCUAGUCAGCAAUAAUAUCAGACAUGUUGCUUUGGAGUUUCAGGGCAAUGUAUUGUACCAAUUGUUAAUUGAUUUGUUUCAGGCGCAUGAGAAUUGUUUCAAGUUUUUGUGUUUGACUUGAAAUCGGGAAUUGCAUCUGAAUGCAAUCUAAUCGGCAAUUAUUUCAGACAUCUGGCUUUGGAUUUUCAGGGCAAUUUAUUGUACCAAACUUGAAUUGAUUUGUUUCAGGCGCAUGAGGAUUGUUUCAAGUUCCUGUAUUUGACUUGAAAUCGAG